CCUACGGGAGGCUGCAGUGGGGAAUAUUGCACAAUGGGCGCAAGCCUGAUGCAGCCAUGCCGCGUGUGUGAAGAAGGCCUUCGGGUUGUAAAGCACUUUCAGCGGGGAGGAAGGCGGUGAGGUUAAUAACCUCAUCGAUUGACGUUACCCGCAGAAGAAGCACCGGCUAACUCCGUGCCAGCAGCCGCGGUAAUACGGAGGGUGCAAGCGUUAAUCGGAAUUACUGGGCGUAAAGCGCACGCAGGCGGUCUGUCAAGUCGGAUGUGAAAUCCCCGGGCUCAACCUGGGAACUGCAUUCGAAACUGGCAGGCUAGAGUCUUGUAGAGGGGGGUAGAAUUCCAGGUGUAGCGGUGAAAUGCGUAGAGAUCUGGAGGAAUGCCGGUGGCGAAGGCGGCCCCCUGGACAAAGACUGACGCUCAGGUGCGAAAGCGUGGGGAGCAAACAGGAUUAGAUACCCGUGUAGUC
Molecule: ribosomal RNA, 465 nt
Filed under: uncultured Klebsiella sp.
Lineage: Bacteria; Pseudomonadati; Pseudomonadota; Gammaproteobacteria; Enterobacterales; Enterobacteriaceae
Description: bacterial SSU rRNA
Rfam family: Bacterial small subunit ribosomal RNA
Source: RNAcentral